This 497-nucleotide ribosomal RNA is filed under the name uncultured bacterium. RNAcentral describes it as "partial 16S ribosomal RNA". It matches the Rfam family "Bacterial small subunit ribosomal RNA", at positions 28 to 507 of the family's 1533-position model. The record is from RNAcentral.
GACGAACGCUGGCGGCGUGCUUAACACAUGCAAGUCGAACGGACAGACGCGGCUUUUGCGCGGUGCUCGAGAGGCGAGGGGGUGAGUGAAACGCGUGGAACCUGUCCUUAACUGACUGGUAAAACCAGGGGACAGGGGCGCAUAUCGCAGAGGAGAUCCUGCUCCGCAGGGGUGGUUGGAAAGAUUCGGCUGUGCGGUAUGGACUAGAGGCAUCCGCGCUGGAUUAGCUGGUUGGUAAGGUAAAGGCUUACCAAGGCUACGAUGCGUAGCCGACCUGAGAGGGUGAUCGGCCACACUGGAACUGAGACACGGUCCAGACUCCUACGGGAGGCAGCAGUAGGGAAUCUUCCGCAGUGGGCGAAAGCCUGACGGAGCAACGCCGCGUGAGUGAUGAAGGUGUUCGGAUCGUAAAACUCUGUUAUUAGGGAAGAACAAAUGUGUAAGUAACUAUGCACGUCUUGACGGUACCUAAUCAGAAAGCCACGGCUAACUACGUG